RNAcentral lists this long non-coding RNA (223 nucleotides) under Sander lucioperca (pikeperch). RNAcentral describes it as "lncRNA (ENSSLUG00000019403.1)". The record is from RNAcentral. Lineage: Eukaryota; Metazoa; Chordata; Actinopteri; Perciformes; Percidae.
CUUUUGCGGGACCGACAGACCGUGCUACACUGCUGAGGGUGGGGGAGGGGACCCUGAACUGGGACGCCCCUGACGUCUCCUCAAGGAGCCCUGAUGCCCAGAACUUUCUCCACAUGCUCCUUCAGCCAGAUCCAGAGAAGCGACCAUCUGCCUUUGAGUGCUUGAGCCAUGAAUGGCUCCAGGACGAACAUGCAGGAGAAGAUACGGAUGAAAUCAACACCAA